GGGGUUGUGGCUCAGCAGCAGAGCGCUCGCCUAGCACGUGCGGGGUGCUGGGUUCGAUCCUCAGCACCACCU
Molecule: non-coding RNA, 72 nt
Organism: Ictidomys tridecemlineatus (thirteen-lined ground squirrel)
Lineage: Eukaryota; Metazoa; Chordata; Mammalia; Rodentia; Sciuridae
Source: Rfam